RNAcentral lists this ribosomal RNA (545 nucleotides) under uncultured bacterium. RNAcentral describes it as "partial 16S ribosomal RNA". It matches the Rfam family "Bacterial small subunit ribosomal RNA", at positions 355 to 891 of the family's 1533-position model. The record is from RNAcentral.
UGGGGAAUUUUGGACAAUGGGCGCAAGCCUGAUCCAGCCAUGCCGCGUGCGGGAAGAAGGCCUUCGGGUUGUAAACCGCUUUUGUCAGGGAAGAAAUCUUCUGAGUUAAUACCUCGGGAGGAUGACGGUACCUGAAGAAUAAGCACCGGCUAACUACGUGCCAGCAGCCGCGGUAAUACGUAGGGUGCAAGCGUUAAUCGGAAUACUGGGCGUAAAGCGUGCGCAGGCGGUUUUGUAAGACAGAGGUGAAAUCCCCGGGCUCAACCUGGGAACUGCCUUUGUGACUGCAAGGCUUGAGUGCGGCAGAGGGGGGAUGGAAUUCCGCGUGUAGCAGUGAAAUGCGUAGAUAUGCGGAGGAACACCGAUGGCGAAGGCAAUCCCCUGGGCCUGCACUGACGCUCAUGCACGAAAGCGUGGGGAGCAAACAGAAUUAGAUACCCUGGUAGUCCACGCCCUAAACGAUGUCAACUGGUUGUUGGGAAGGUUCCUUUCUCAGUAACGUAGCUAACGCGUGAAGUUGACCGCCCGGGGGAGUACGGCCGCAA